RNAcentral lists this ribosomal RNA (422 nucleotides) under uncultured bacterium. RNAcentral describes it as "bacterial SSU rRNA". It matches the Rfam family "Bacterial small subunit ribosomal RNA", at positions 355 to 774 of the family's 1533-position model. The record is from RNAcentral.
UGAGGAAUAUUGGACAAUGGGCGCAAGCCUGAUCCAGCCAUGCCGCGUGCAGGAAGAAGCAUCUAUGGUGUGUAAACUGCUUUUGUACGGGAAGAAACACUCCUUCGUGAAGGAGCUUGACGGUACCGUAAGAAUAAGGAUCGGUUAACUCCGUGCCAGCAGCCGCGGUAAUACGGAGGAUCCAAGCGUUAUCCGGAAUCAUUGGGCUUAGAGGGUCCGCAGGCGGUUUAGUAAGUCAGUGGUGAAAGCCCAUCGCUCAACGAUGGAACGGCCAUUGAUACUGCUAGACUUGAAUUAAUAGGAAGUAACUAGAAUAUGUAGUGUAGCGGUGAAAUGCUUAGAUAUUACGAGGAAUACCAAUUGCGAAGGCAGAUUGCUACUAAUGGAUUGACGCUGAUGGACGGAAGCGUGGGGAGCGAACA